GACGGGUGAGUAACACGUGGGAACGUGCCUUUUGGUUCGGAACAACUCAGGGAAACUUGAGCUAAUACCGAAUGUGCCCUUCGGGGGAAAGAUUUAUCGCCAUUAGAGCGGCCCGCGUCUGAUUAGCUUGUUGGUGAGGUAAAGGCUCCCCAAGGCAACCAACAUUACCUGGCCUGAGAGGAUGAUAAGCCACUCUGGGACUGAGACCGGCCCAAACUUUUACGGGGGGCGCAUUUAGAAUUCUUGCGCAAUGGGGAAAACCCCGACCCACCCCCCCGCGUGAAUAAAGAGGGUUUUAAAAUUGUAAAUUUUUUCACCGGGGACAAUAAUUCAAAUACCCCCCAAAAAAGCCCCGCCAAACUUUUUCCCACCAGCCCCGUUAAUAACAAGGGGGUUUGCG
Molecule: ribosomal RNA, 400 nt
Filed under: uncultured bacterium
Lineage: Bacteria
Description: partial 16S ribosomal RNA
Rfam family: Bacterial small subunit ribosomal RNA
Source: RNAcentral